UUGAGGGGUCACGUGUAAGUCCUGAUAGAGCCUUGGCAUCCAGAAGUCUGGGCGCCAGGCGCUCACACCACAGGAACGGGGCAAGGGCCCCAAGCUGGCUGCUGCGUCCCUUCGUGGAGGAGUGUUUCCAUUUGUGGAAGUCAGGCCUCAGCCCAGAAGGCCCAAAGCCCACCCCCUCCCUCCCGGGGCGCCAGCUCUGAGGCAAGAGACCAUCCCCUUCCUGGCUUCACUUCCUUCAUCUCGCUUCCCCACCGUGAGCCACCGGCCUCCUGCCCUCUGGCCUCUGCUCCCCGACAUCUGCAUGACUCAAGGCAGGGGCUUGCACUCAGCCUCCAGGAGCAUCGAAGCACGGAGCCCAGAGCCUGCAGACUGCACUCUUCCAGGCCAUGUGAUAGACAAGAAUGCAGUCCAUGAGUGCGAGUGUAAACAGACUAGACGGGGAGUCCAGACUCUGGAGAUGAGCAAGGACAUCACCCUGCUGGCCGCCCUGCAUUGCCUCUAGCCCCUCCGGGUGAGCCUCCCCUCCCACACCGAGGGUCGCCUCCGCCUCUGCCUCCUGCCCGCCUCCCCACCCAGGUGCCCAACCACACCUGUUUGGGGUCUUGGGGCUCCCAGAGCCGGUCUUGCCACACAGAUGGAUACCUCACGAUGGAUCAGGGUAAAGGUACUACUUCUCUGCCACCCAAGGCCCGGCUCAGCCUGCAGAGAUGCAGUAGAGGCUGGUUUCACAUUCGCACAACAUCUGCAGCUGUUUCUCAUCUGGGAGCGGUGACUCAGCUGGGCCAGAGCGGCCAGGCCCCACCCCGCACCCCUCAGCCCCAGUCUGCACCCCCCACCCCAAUCUCCUGGAUGACUUCUCGUUGCCCUCCAAUCCUCUGCUCAGGUGCUGCUUCUUCCCAACACGGCCUCAUGGCCCCUCCACUAAGGCAGGGAGUCGGGCGACGGGGGCCUGCUGGGAACCGUAGGAACCUGCAUCCGUGAUGCUCCAGGAGACACGGCUCCCUCUCCAUCUGCCCCACUGGUCCCCGCAUUCCUCCCUCACAGCCCUGACCCUGCACCAUAAGCCUCCCCAAGGCCGGGUGAGCUUCGAAGAUGGGGAUCCUGCCUCACGCCUGACCUUCUGGAACCCCUGGGGGUGCUGUUCGCACAGUUGAUGCCAAAUAAACAGGCAACAAGGGGUAAAUGCAGAUAAUAGAAUGGCAACGAUGGAAGAUAUCCUAGGUCAGUGGUUCUCAAACAAGGAUGCAGCAGGAGCCGCCGGGGAGCUUGUGAAAAGGCAGAUUCGUGUCUCGGGAGGUCCCACGUGGCCACAGGCUGCUGCUACGGCCCAGCACCUCACCUUGACAGCCCCGCUCUGAUGAUGCUCCGCCCCUGGCCACACGUGUGACGGACACCAAUGAGGAAGGCAUGAGAGUUAAGGAAGCUUCCUAACAUCCUUUCUGUCCGUCUGCCUCCCGUUUUGGGCUCAGUGGCUAUGGUCAGCUCCAGAAAGCUCGGUCACCUCAUGCAGGACAAGGACCCUGCACACAGUCCAGCGUCCUGAUGGCCCCCUUCACCACGGCAGCCACUUCUCAUUGCUGUCCUCCAGGGGGGCGGGUAGGGACAGCCUCCACCUACACUCACCGCCCUCACCUGGAGGAACCGAGAUGGAAGCAGAGGCCCUGAGCCCCCCAGGAUUCAAACUAGAGCCUGGAUCAGCAUCGUGUGUGACUCACAGGCUUCUUCUGGGUGCCGACUGCUUACAGGCCCCAGACCAGGAUUAAGCCCUGGAGAGGGAGGGACAAGGUAAGAAACAUGCUCAGAGAACAUGAGCAUCACCUGGGAAGGGAGGAAGCAAGACGCGACCAGGAAAUUUCUGUUUGACUCCAUAAAGAGGUGAAAUAAAAGGACGCUUUGGACAGCCCAACGUCCAGCGCCACCCGGACACCUCGAGAAACAUCUGGGGUCGGCCCGGCAGUGGCUCAGCCCCUACCUGGUCCCCACCGGCCGCAGGGGUCUGAUUCUUUUGCCGGCUUCUCAGAAGUGCAUAGGCUUCACUCCAAGGUGCCUGUUCCACAUAGGGAUUUAAUAAAAAAGUAUUUUUUUCUUUAAGCCACGAAGGUGAAUUUCCUAUUUCUUGUCUGUUUGAGAAUUCCUAUAUUCCAUUUCUCUUGCUUUCCCCUCCUUUGAGGCACCUGCCAUGGAGAGCUGAUGGAGACGUCUCUGUUGUACGAGGCUGUUACCACGAGGGUGUCCAGCUUCCCUCUGGAGGUGGCCUCCUGGUGACUUGUCUGUCCACCUCUUCCCAAGAAACGGACAUCGCAGGCAGGUUCACAGCCCGGGGUGCUUUUGUUCUAUUCACCCGAGUCCCAACUUGACUGCACAUUCCAAUCUCCUGGGCAGGAUUUUAAGUCUCCACAACCCAGGCCUUAUGCUAUGUGACUUAAACCCACGUUGAUGGGUUUAGCAUUCCUUCUGUACCUUCCCAAGUGGCCACCGCGUGCAGAAGGCCAGAAGCCACUGUUCUUACCCAGUGACAGUCACCAUCCUACAAAUGUGUGCAUUGGGUCCCCACAGGGAUAGGACUUGGGGACCCACAUCACUGAGCAGGAUCCCAUCCCCUCGAUGCACAUGAGGCCAACAGAUCCACACAGCAUUUUCCAGCAGAGCACCAAAGCAGCAUUUGUCUAAACCCAAACAGAAUAGAAAUCCCCUUUAGGAUGCCUGGGUGGCUCAGGGGUUAAGCGUCUGCCUUUGGCUUAGGUCAUGAUCCCGGGGUCCUGGGAUCGAGUUCCGCAUAGGGCUCCCUGCAUGGAGCCUGCUUCU
Long non-coding RNA from Canis lupus familiaris (dog), 2805 nucleotides. RefSeq lists it as uncharacterized. The record is from RefSeq and is a predicted model, not a curated record. The transcript has 3 exons. NCBI's taxonomy places the organism in Eukaryota, Metazoa, Chordata, Mammalia, Carnivora, Canidae.